Molecule: transfer RNA, 74 nt
Filed under: Parageobacillus thermoglucosidasius
Lineage: Bacteria; Bacillati; Bacillota; Bacilli; Caryophanales; Anoxybacillaceae
Description: tRNA-Asp
Rfam family: tRNA
About the family: Transfer RNA (tRNA) molecules are approximately 80 nucleotides in length. Their secondary structure includes four short double-helical elements and three loops (D, anti-codon, and T loops).
Source: RNAcentral
GGUCCCGUAGUGUAGUGGUUAACAUGCCUGCCUGUCACGCAGGAGAUCGCGGGUUCGAGUCCCGUCGGGACCGC